RNAcentral lists this ribosomal RNA (1369 nucleotides) under metagenome. RNAcentral's name for it is "bacterial SSU rRNA". It matches the Rfam family "Archaeal small subunit ribosomal RNA". The record is from RNAcentral.
UCUGGUUGAUCCUGCCAGACCCGAUUGCUAUCCGGGUGGGACUAAGCCAUGCAAGUCGUACGGUGCACCUUGCACCGUGGCGGACUGCUCAGUAACAAGUGAUCAACUUACCCUACGGUGGAGCAUACCCUCGGGAAACUGAGGCUAAUACUCCGUAGUUGACAAGGCCUGGAAGGGUUUGUCAUCAAUAGUGUAGUUCAAAUGGGAAUUACAUGCCGUAGGAUAGGAUCGCUCCCGAUUAUGGUUGUUGGCGAGGUAAUGGCUCACCAAGCCUAUGAUCGGUACGGGCCGUGAGAGCGGGAGCCCGGAGAUGGGUACUGAGACAAGGACCCAGGCCUUACGAGGCGCAGCAGGCGCGAAACCUUUACAAUGCACGAAAGUGUGAUAAGGUUACCCGGAGUGCUAAGAGAAAACUUUUAGCUGUUGUGGGGAGUAGGUAUCCCCACCAGAAAGGAGAGGGCAAGGCUGGUGCCAGCCGCCGCGGUAAAACCAGCUCUUCAAGUGAUCGGGACUUUUAUUGGGCUUAAAGCGUCCGUAGCCGGGUUGGUAAGUUCCUGGUAAAAUCUGGCCGCUUAACGGUCAGCAGGCUAGGAAUACUGCCUUCCUUGAGGGUGGGAAAGGUCUGAGGUACUCUGGGGGUAGCGGUGAAAUGUGAUAUCCUCAGGGGACCACCAGUGGCGAAGGCGUCAGACUGGAACACGCCUGACGGUGAGGGACGAAAGCUAGGGGAGCGAACGGGAUCAGAUACCCCGGUAGUCCUAGCUGUAAACGAUGUGCGUUAGGUGUCGGUGGGGCUAGGAGCCGCACCGGUGCCGUAGAGAAAUCGUUAAACGCACCGCCUGGGAAGUACGCUCGCAAGAGUGAAACUUAAAGGAAUUGGCGGGGUAGCACCACAAGGGGUGAAGCCUGCGGUUCAAUUGGACCCAACGCCGGGAAGCUUACCAGGGGCGACAGCAGUAUGAAGGUCAGGCUGACGACCUUACCAGACAAGCUGAGCGGAGGUGCAUGGCCGUCGCCAGUUCGUGCCGUGAGGUAUCCUGUUAAGUCAGGCAACGAACGAGACCCACACACUUAGUUACCAGCAACCGUCUUCGGAUGGGUUGGGAACGCUAGGUGAACCGCCGCCGUGCAGACGGAGGAAGGGGUGGGCCACGGCAGGUCAGUAUGCCCCCAAUCCCCUGGGCCACACGCGGGCUGCAAUGGUGGGGACAAUGGGUUGCAACACCGAAAGGUGAAGCCAAUCUCGAAACCCCAUCUCAGUUGGGAUUGUCGGCUGCAACUCGCCGACAUGAACGUGGAAUCCCUAGUAAUCGUGUGUCAACAUCGCACGGUGAAUACGUCUCUGCUCCUUGCACACACCGCCCGUCGC